AAUGACCUUAAUUUAAUGUCCCUGAACUGUACACCUAAAAAUGGUUAAAAUGGUAGUUUGUCAUGUAGAUUUUUACCCCAAAUUUUAAAAAGUGGGGAAAAACCUACCCUGUUUAAAGAGAAAUGUCUUAGGAAAAAAAGUCAGUGCCUGCUCUUGGCUGUAGCUCUGUCCACUGCCUGUCGUAAAGAAUUUCUGUGACUUGAGGAGGGGCAGGUCUAAGGAGAACACUUAAGAAAAAUAGUAUUUCUUGUCUCUCCCCGUUAGAGUUGAGCGAUUUGUAUUAAAAUCUAAAGUAUUUUUUCUUUAUAAUCAAUGCUUUUUAGAACAAUUACUACAUUUCUUGGUCAUGUACUGCUAUUAUUAAUCAUUCUGAUGAUAAAUAAAUGCCAAUUUCUGUGCAUGACUAAUGAUAAAAAUUAGGGAAUUAAAAGGAACCAUCCUCAUUUCAGCAACAUUAAAUAUUUACUGAAAGGAAAUUGACUUACAAACAUGAGUUUGUAGAAAAUUGACAGGUAAAUACAAAGAUACAGGAAGCCAUGCUUUUAAUCAGUUGCCAAUAAUCUAAGCCCGAUUGUGCUUUUAGCACAGGAAGAUCCAUGGCUUGGGGGUACAUUAGGGUUUUGGGUACAGCAGUCCAGGCUAGUAAGAGGUUAUAUGUUGGAAGAGAGUCUGUGGUAUGAGUUAUGGACCAAGGUCUGCACCAGACAGAAGAGAAAAAAAUAUGGAAGAGUUUGAGCUAGGAGUCCACUCUCUUCUGACUUUAAACAACCUCCUGGCUUGGAACUUUCUCCAUAGAGGUACUUGUAGGGUUAGUGUUGGCCAUAAAACGUGACUAUGGAGAUAUCAUCUGGCUAUAAGGGUGUCUCCUGAAAACUUAGAGUGAAUAGGUCACUCUACCCUCAAUUAUAUUAUAUCUUCAUCAAGUCAGCUCAGUUCAGUGUGUUAUAAAGUGAAUCCAGUAAAUAAUGACUGUCGCCAGAGCCCACGCCUUCCACUGCAGUGCACUGAACUGCCUCCAUGGAGUCCUUGGUGUUUAGAGAAGCAUGAAAUAUUGUAUCAUUUUUUUUUAAUCAGGUGGAAAAGGUAAUCCUAAUACUCUCUAUAUAUACACUUGAAAACACAGCUUCUUUGGCAAUUCCUUUCCCUGAAGCACAUUUUUUUUUGAGUGGAUAUAAAAGUAGAAAUGAUACCUAGCUUAGAAUUUUAUAAUUCAUCAAACAUUGAGUGCCCCUGUGUACCAGACAUCACACUGAGUUGCAGAAGAUAGUUCAGAUGUAAAAUUUCUCUCACUCAAGAAGAUACAAUCUGGAAGGGCCCUUUCAUUCCAUCCCAUUUCAUUCUGUCUAUUAGGAAACUCAGGCUCAGACAUGAGUGUCUGUUCCCUGAGGUUAUGCAGGUGACUAGAGGUAGGGCCCAAAAUAGAAAACAACUCAUUCUACGGCAAAUCUAUGUGAGUCCCAGUGGAAACAGGCAGCACAGUCAAACUAGGUAAUUUGGGGGAGUGCUUAUUACAGGAAUUUUUUACAAAGGUAUGGUCAGGAUUCAGGGAAAUCAGCAAAAGACAGCGAAGCACUCCAGGCCUAGGAACAGUAGGGAGGGAGCCAUUGCUACCCAUAGGCCCGAAAGAACCCAGAAAAGGAGCCGUGGCUUUCAAUAGAGGGACAUAUACAACAUGGGUGACCUAGCUGGAAGAAAGCUGGAGGAGUAAAUACCAUAACUUCAUUCUUUUACCACCCUCUAAUAUCCCACUAAGGCCUCCUAUUGGCUGAACUCAACAAGUUAAAGGCACGGGAGCCCCUUGAUGUAGUCCACAUGGGUCUGCCCCCAAGGCCCAAAGCAGAGCAGAGAGGGAAGGAGAGUGGCUUUGUAGUGCUAAGUGGAAAAUGAACACAUCAUUCCCUCUUAGAAGACUUAGUGUGCAUCUGGUGCCCAAAUGUUAAGACAUAGUUUCAGGGUUGAUCAGGCGUUGGAGGAUCUUUGACUCUCUUAUAAAUGGCAUCACAUACAAAUGCUGAGUUAUUUGAGUAUAGGAUUUUAAAACUUUCUAAUUUGAAAGAGAAAAUAAUUGUUUUAGAAUCAUAGAAUUCUAAUAACUGAAAUGCCUAGAACCUCAGCAUCCACUGGCCCAUUUCCCCCAGUAGCCCACCAAGGUGUACCAGGUCUUUGGAUAUUUCUUGCAAGAAUUACUGGGAGACUCUGAGGAAUGUCUCACAUGUAUUUAUAAACAAGUCUGUACUCAGACUCUGGACCGUUUCCUCAUAUAUCCUGUGUGUCACCCAAUUGCUAUGCUA
This is a long non-coding RNA of Phyllostomus discolor (pale spear-nosed bat), 2291 nucleotides long. RefSeq lists it as uncharacterized. Lineage: Eukaryota; Metazoa; Chordata; Mammalia; Chiroptera; Phyllostomidae. The record is from RefSeq and is a predicted model, not a curated record. The transcript has 2 exons.